CAACACCACCAACACCAAACCCCUCCUGCCCUCAGACUCCCACCACACUGGUUGCCUCACCUCCACCCUCCUCAUAAGCCCCUAGGUACCUUGUUGUGUGUUUUUUAUGAUGUCAGCUCAAGCUUCUGUGGGAACGACCUCCUCUGUUCGUAUUACAACUAAGACAACAACUGCGCCUCCAUCAACAUGAACUGCUGAACACAGCCAUGAUGUCUAAGCAAAGAAUAUAAAUUGAGAGGCCCGACACAAUGCAAGGGUCAAGCAUCAACCCUUUAGCUUAUUUUUCAGCUGCAUGAGCCCUCUACCUCAAAUACCUGCCCUUUGCUCUCAUGACUUCCCUCUCCCUCUUCUUGAGUACAUACUCCUUCGUUUUGUCCUGGAACAAUAACCCGGAUGAGUUACAGCAAGCACGACAGCCGAACAAAGUGCAGGUUUUACUGCAACAUCUGUUUGCCUAAAAUCCGCGUUGACACCUCUUGUGUACAAGAGAAGAGAGCUGAAUAUAUUUUUUUGACAAAGCCAGAGAACUACCGAGGGAGCGGCGUGCACGCCAGCGGUCUAGCAGCCACAGCCGUGCUCCGACUUGCAGACUGCCACCACCAGUGGGUAAUUGGCCCCGCAGGAUCCAGGGUGGGAUGGUGCGUGCAGAUGGAAGAGUCGUAUCCCAUAAUCUCCGAGGAGGGCAUGUUGCUAUAGGGAAAUGGAGUGAGGCACACCAAUUAUUACCAGCGUCUUCUUCCACAACACACCUGUUUGCCCUGCCUGCUGCUUAACCGCCCAGCUGAGAGUCAUGACCAAAACCCGAAUGAAUGGCCCUCUGUUAGGGCACUUUUAGAGAAUCCAUUGGAUGCAGGUUUAUAAUGAAUUCUUUCAGUAUUUUCAGUAUUUACACUGCGUGUAAAACGUCACAGCUUUUUGUCCUUACUGUCUGACAUAAAUCGGGUUAGGUUAACCUGAUACAUUAUUGUUUGUAUAACAUUUAACUUAGUUUGUUUUUUUUUAACUUCACCAGUAACACCUGCAUAGAUGUGUACCAGUAUGAACGUGUAUAUGUACAUGCAUAUAUAGUCACACUUAUUGUUUUUCAGUAUUAUUUCUGCACUCUGGUAGCUGAGCAACGACAUUUCGUUGCCAAAUUCCCUGCUGCGUCUUUGUGCAAUGACAACAGUGGAAGUAGGUCUCUAAACUUGAACCAUUCAGGUCAGCUUGGCUUGCCAAAAUUAUUUAUAAAAUGACAGAACAAUGUAAGAGAUAAAAUGUUAAAGAAUUGUUGUUUGACUUCAGAUCUAAAACGUUUGCAUAAACCUUUAUAAUAUUUGGUAGAAUUUUGAUUUGGAUCAAAUAUUCUUGGUAUUUUUACAGAAAGCUUCUUGUACUGGUUACCUGGACCUUUGGGCGACUCCUGGCCAAGUCAGGUGUGUACUCUGCUUUGCUCACUCACAUCUUUGAAGAUGCGUACAAACUGUAAAUGCUCAAUAAGAUUUACACUCCAAUGCAUCACUGUUUGAUAAUUGAGAUCUGUUGGAAUGUAAGUGUGAUUCAAUUGAAAUGGCUUAUUUGUAAAGUGCCUUAAGAUGAUGUGUGUUGUGAAUCGGUGCCAUGUAAAUAAACGUAUUUGAAUUGAACAGAAUAAAAUUGGACCAACAACAGCAAAAGUCAAAUUCAUGAAAGAAAUGUAUUAUUAACAAUGCAGAAAUCUUACAUACCCUGCUAUUUUCCUAUAAAACAGCAAAAAUACACAAGUCCGUACAUGUGUAAAUAUGUUUCACAAAUCAGACUAAUGCAACUACAAACAGUAGCCAUUCAUCCGUCCAUCCAUCCCUCCAUUAUCAUACACGCUUAUCCCUGCUAGGGUCACCAGGGUUGCUCCAGCGAUCAACAGGCAAGAGACGCGGUGCAGCAUGGACAGGUCGCCGGUCCAUCGCAGACAAACAGUAGUCAUAUUAUUCCGUCUGAGUGAUUUUCUUUCUGUAGAGUUUCUUUGUGUUGUAUAAAUUAUUAUUCUAAACUACAUCUGUUUUAUGUAAAGUUUUAAUCAAACGUUUGAAAUAACCAAUGAGCACAGAAAGCACACCUGACUUUGCAGGUUUGUUGCUGAUCCUGUUCAGAUGGAAGCUCCCAUCGUACAAACAUCACCCAACCACAGCCGGAUGCUGCUGUUUCUUUUUCGCUUUUCAACCAUGUUGUCACUUUUUUGCCUACGAGCGUUUACAUUUGGUUCCCUGUCUCUCUGAGGCUUCGUGCAGCAGGCUGCAGCCUUCAUGACAUGUCUGUGUUUGCAUGUGUUUGUGCUGCUUGGUGUGCCCAUCAAAACAAAGUAGCAGCCCAUGCAUGGCGGGAUUCAGCCAUUCCUGAUGGGAGUUGACAGAGAGGUGGCUCUCUGGACAACACGCCACUACAGCAAAUUAAAGAGCCCUGACCAGGUGAAACUGAGCGCUGAAGCUGUAAAGAUAUGCUGGAAAAUGAAUGAAUUAAACAUAAGUAAUGAAUAGGAAAUCUUAUUUUAAAAUAAUGUAUGUUUUCAAAAUACUUUUGAGAUUUGAGUGUAGGGUUGUAGCGCUUUUGUUGGAGAUCUGGUUAGUUUUUCUGCUCACAGUUUAGCAUGUUAUGAAUUAUUCCUUCAUUUCUUCAUAUUUCGUCUCCAACCCGCCAGACUUUCAUAAGUUUUCCAACUGAAGUCACACUUAUGCUGCAAAAAUAAAAGACUUCAGACUCGACUUUGAUUUGUAUCCUAAAAGAAUUUAGACUCGACUUGUACUCGUGGUUGGAGACUUGAGUUUUGGUAACAGUUUAUAUCCAAUGUAGUGAAGCCAGUGAGUUAGAUAGAAACUGCAGCUGCAGUUUAUGUUGCGUUGAAAGGAUGAGCUUGAUUAUUAUCCAGUGACAUUGAGGAAUUAUUGGAUCACAAUGACUCAUAAUAAUCUAUUUAUGUUGGCUGUAACUUCAUUAUAAUGACCACGUGGAUUUCUCUUCAACUCAAUGAUGUAUUAAGUGACUUUUGAUAAUUUCAGAACAAAAUAAAUCUGACAAUCUAUCACUGUUAAGCUAUUUUUAAAAUAAGGACACUUCUGGCUGAAAAUAUUAAAACAAAAGCACCUCCCGUUUCAUUCAAUUAUAAGUUUAAGACCAUUACUUACUACACUGUCUUGUUCAUAAUGUUUACUUAUACUAAAUAUUUAAACCUAUAGAACAGAAGCCUGAAAUGAAAAUGUGAACAUAAUUUUUUUUAUUUUUUAAAAUCUCAAGCUCAGAGUGAGCAGAAGAAAACCUUCUAAGCCACAUUAAGUGCAAUAUAUAGUGAAGCCAUAAACAAGGGGUCUAACAUCUUUCCUUUAGGUUUUGCUUUGAAGCGGUGAACGUAAUCACUGACCAAUUGUCAUAAUAUAAAAUGGCUUUUAUGAAUGCUGAAUUAAAUAGAUGAAAUAGAAUUAUUAAAAAUAGAUUAAGGCAUAAUUGUUCCUAAAAAUGUAUAGAUUUAAAGAUAAAUUUGACCUCUUCUUGCAAUGAUUCUGGCCUACAGAUUCCUGACCUGCAGUGAUGCAGUUAGAGACGACCCAAAUCUUUCAUGAGAAAAUGUUUAUUUCAGUCACUGCUUGAAUUUUGGACUUCAACUUAUGGCAAAAGACUUGCUGUGUUCCCGAACUUCCCAAUAAUAUUUAACCAGAUUCUCUGAACGUUUUUCUCUGGUUUUGUAUAUUUUUAUUUUUAUUUUUUUUUGGACUUUGACUUCUUUCUCACUAUUUUUCAGUCACAUAUGUGGCCAUUUUUAAAGGUGCAAAACAAUUCUAAUCCCAAGGGAUGAACUAGUCACGUCUUUGCACGUAACAGCAGCUUAUCAAAGAACCAACAGUAAAUUUUAUAUUGAUUGGCUUUGCUUUCAUCAACCCGUCACAAACAUACGUUGUUGUUUUUUUUCUAUUUUGUUUGCAGCAAACUUGAUCUGAUCAACCAAUGAUGAAUCUCUCUGCUAUUUAGAUAACAUUUUUCUAUUACUGAAAAUUCUUUGAGAAGUUGUCAAUCUUUCAUGAAUAUCUUUUUUAUGCCUGACAGUUUUUUUUUAACUGCUUCACUCACUAUUAAGCCAGUACCACACUACAUUUUGUCAGUGUCAGUUAAAAAAAUGCGUAAAAAGUUUGCCAAACAUUAAAGAAUGUCUUAAAAGAUCACAAGAGAGAGACCAGUCCUCCAGUUUGUUUGUAUAAAUGUAAGAUGACCAAGCUGACCCAUAUUAAAGUGCAGUCUGUAAGCAUUGUAAGAAGCCUUCUUUUAUUGCUGCCACUCAUCUCACUUCGUUUGACCCCCAUGAAGAUUAAACAUAAUAAAGAAUUUAUUUCCUUCUAAGCCUUCUUGUCCUCCCUUUUAGUUUUUGAGUGCAAUUGGUGAAUAUCGCUCUUCUCCUUAACUCCCUCUCUGCUCAGCUCAAAUAUAUGUUUUGGCUUCGACGAUGAGGAUUACAGAGAGCGGCGCGUCUUCCCAGGCUAUAAAUCCCACUUAAUUGAAUCCCUUCUUCUCUUUACCAGCAGUGAUUUAGCAGCAAAAGGCAGCAAUGUAAUGAAAUGCUUCCAUGACGGCUUUAUGUGAUGAAAUCAUGCGAAAACAUGGAGCAAAAUCUGCAUUAGUAAUACACUUGGAUUUCAGUAUUUUGUCAGAAAGACAAGUAUUCAUACUCCUGAAUGUUGUUCACUUUUUUUUACAUUACAGCCACAAACACAAAUACAUUUAAUCUGUAUUUUAUGUGCCAGACAGACACAAAGUAGUCUAUAAAUAAAGAUCAUUUUAAAACCCUU
Molecule: long non-coding RNA, 4787 nt
Organism: Xiphophorus hellerii (green swordtail)
Lineage: Eukaryota; Metazoa; Chordata; Actinopteri; Cyprinodontiformes; Poeciliidae
Exons: 2
Source: RefSeq, a predicted model, not a curated record